RNAcentral lists this ribosomal RNA (444 nucleotides) under uncultured bacterium. RNAcentral's name for it is "bacterial SSU rRNA". It matches the Rfam family "Bacterial small subunit ribosomal RNA", at positions 30 to 463 of the family's 1533-position model. The record is from RNAcentral.
AUUGAACGCUGGCGGCGUGCCUUACACAUGCAAGUCGAACGUGAAAGUACUUUCGGGUACGAGUAAAGUGGCGCACGGGUGAGUAACGCGUGGAUAAUCUACCAAGAAGUUUGGGAUAACAGCUGGAAACGGCUGCUAAUACCGAAUACGCUGCAUAUCUAUCUUAUGUGGGAAAGAUGGCCUCUGCAUAUGCUGUUGCUUUUUGAUGAGUCCGCGUACCAUUAGCUGGUUGGUGGGGUAAAGGCCUACCAAGGCGACGAUGGUUAACUGGUCUGAGAGGAUGAUCAGUCACACUGGAACUGGAACACGGUCCAGACUCCUACGGGAGGCAGCAGUGGGGAAUAUUGCGCAAUGGGCGAAAGCCUGACGCAGCGACGCCGCGUGAGGGAUGAAGGUCUUCGGAUCGUAAACCUCCGUCAGCAGGGAAGAACGGUCACUGUGCUA